Molecule: long non-coding RNA, 401 nt
Filed under: Ananas comosus (pineapple)
Lineage: Eukaryota; Viridiplantae; Streptophyta; Magnoliopsida; Poales; Bromeliaceae
Description: long non-coding RNA (ACOM_LNC036497)
Source: RNAcentral
UCCUACAUGACCUCAAUGCAUAUUUGUAAAGCAAGAUGUGGAAUAGCCCUUUAAGAGGAGUAUGAAAUCAAUAAAGAGUUGGAAAGCAAAUGAAUCUUACUGCCAGUCACUAAGUAGAGGGAAUUGUAUUAACAGUGAUUGUAAAUUAUUCUACAAUUAACAAUUAUAAGGCUAGUUGCCCAUGAAGGCCUCUUCUUGUUUAUAAUUAAGUUUAGGGAAAACUUCAAAAACCCCCCCUGUGGUUUCACACUUUUUCAUUUUAGUACCCUGUGGUUUGAAGUGUAUCAAGUUAGUACCCUGUGGUUUCUCACUUUAUCACUUUAGUACCCUGUGGUUUAAAAUGUAUCAAGCUAGUACCCUGUGGUUUUGCACUUUAUCACUUUAGUACCCUGUGGUUUCAC